RNAcentral lists this long non-coding RNA (6234 nucleotides) under Sus scrofa (pig). Its description in RNAcentral is "lncRNA (ENSSSCG00040053305.1)". Lineage: Eukaryota; Metazoa; Chordata; Mammalia; Artiodactyla; Suidae. The record is from RNAcentral.
UGUGUUCGGUAAACGCCUUCGAAAAGAAUGAGUGAAAAGAAAUUGUAACAGCUCCUAAAGACGAAUGCUCUAAUAUUUUUAAUUAUGAAACAAUUAUUCUCUCACUAUGCAUUGAUAAUACAGGUACUUGAGUUUGAGUUGGGUUAUAAAAACAAUAAUGUCUUAUAAAAAUUGUAGAUAUAUAUAUAUGCACUUAUUAUGUACUAGAUACCGUGGUAGGUGAUUUAUAAACAUCAUCUCAUUUAACCUCCAUUAGACUAUAAACUGCAUGAGGGCACAGACCAGGUCCUUGCGAUAUGUUGAGGGAUCAGUGUUUAACACAGUGGCUGGUGUAUGGCAGUGGCUGGUGUAUAGCAGUAGAGAGUGUCUGUGAAUUACUUCAGUAUAGAUUUAUGGAGCAUCUUCUUUGUCCUAGAGCAAACUGGCGAAUUGGCACUCGAUGCUAAUUCCCAGUAUCUGGGAUUUAGCAAUGUACAAAAUGCACACAAUCCCAGCCCUCAUGGAAAGUGGCCUUUAAGAAUAAAGACUGUAUUCAGGUGUAAAUUCUAUCUCUGCCACUCACCGACCAUGUGACUUCAGGCAGUUCCUUCAUGUCUCUGGGACUUGGUUUUCUCAUCUGUAAAAUGGACAUGGUGAUAAUAGUGCCUUGGUCCUAGAGUGUCUUGAAGAUAAAAGAACACUGUUUGGCUCAUGAUAUGUUCUCAGAUCAUGUCAAAUAUUAUUUUUAUUAUAGCCAUUCUGUAAGAAUUAAUGGAAUGAAUGUAUAAUUUCAUCCUCAACUCAGAUAGAAGGUAUAUUCUCUACUUAAUAAACAAGUAAUCUGCACCAGAGAGAGCUUGAUUCUUUUGCCCAAGGUCACUCAUCUGGUAAGAAGCAGGGGUGUAGUUUGUAUCCAAGUUCAUUCCAUUCCCCACUACUGCUGCUGCUGUGUUCCUAUUAACUGUGCAUGUUGGCAAGUGGCAUAAAUACAUAGGAUAGAAUUCCUGAGAGGAACUCAGGCAGGAGGGCAACUGGCAUGUUGAUUCCCAAUAAGAGUGGGGCAAGUAAGGUUAAAAAAAAUGUAUUGCAAAACUCCACCGGGGUCCAGAUGCUGAUGUGGGAGUAUUACCAAGUCUAGCUGUUACAUGCUGUUGUGCGCCAGUUGGAAGUGGGCUGCAUUUUCUUCAUGUGACAGCUGGUCUUGGUUGCAAGGAAUGCCUUGAAGCUGGCACCACAAUUCGGCCCAGAAACCAUUUGACUUGAUUCACAAAUAUGCAGCUGAAAAACUACAACCAAAGAGGUGUUGAUAUCAGAAUUGUAUCUGAAAGGCAGGCAAAACAGAAAUGAUUCUUUAUUAUUCUCUUACCAUAGUUAAAGAAACUGCACUUAGCUACAUAUCUCCAAUUUAGUAAUCUAUGUUUCCAAACACAUUAUUAAAUGGAGUAUGUAUUUACUUCUCUAUUGAUGUAGUGUUUUGAUCAACUGGAGACCUUGUUCUUGCAGGAGUUGUAAAAAAGUCUCCUUCAGGGUAUAGUUAAUAUAUUGGUCACAGGGAGUCUUGUUUAGGUUUUUUAGACUCAUCUCCAGUGUCACUUCAUCUUGGAUGACUUCAUUGAGUCUUGCAUUCACUCACUCAUUCAUUCAUGUAUUUAUACAAUUUAAAAUAUAUUUACAUGGAGUUGCCGUCAUGGCACAGCAGAAAGGAAUCCGACUAGGAACCAUGUGGUUGUGGGUUCAAUCCCUGUCCUCACUCAGUGGGUUAAGGAUCCGGCAUUUCCGUGAGCUGUGCUGUAGGUGGCAGACACGGCUUGGCUCUGAUGUUGCUGUGGCUGUGGCAUAGGAUGGCAGCUGUAGCUCUUAUUUGACCCCUGGCCUGGGAACCUCCAUAUGCCAUGGGUGUGGCCCUAAAAGAAUAAAUAAAUGAAAUAUAUUUACUGAAUUGCUACCAUAUAAAAGACUGUGGUAUAGAGCUUGGCAAAGUCUUUGUUCUUGUGGGAUUUGAAUUCACUUAGGGAGAUGUAUAAUACAGAAGCAAACCAACAAGAGAAUUAAAUCAAAUACAUAAAAUGGGAAAAAGACACUCUUUUCAGCAAGCAUUGCUGGGAAACCUGGACAGCUGCAUGCAAAUCAAUGAAACUAGAACAUAGCCUCACAUCAUGCAUGAAAAUAAACUCAAAAUGGCUUAAAGACUUAAAUAUGAGACAAGACACCAUCAAACUCCUGGAAGAGAACAUAGGCAAAACAUUCUCUAACAUCAAACUUAUGAACAUUUUCUCAGGUCAGUCUUCCUAAGGCAACAGAAAUAAAAGCAAAAAUAAACCAAUGGGACCUAAUCAAUCUGACAAGCUUUUGCACAGCAAAGGAAACCAAAAAGAAAACAAAAAGACAACUUACAGAAUGGGAGAAAAUAGUUUCAAAUGAUUCAACUGACAAGGGCUUAAUCUCUAGAAUAUACAAGCAACUUAUACAACUCAACAGCAAAAAAGCCAAUAACCCAAUGGAAAAAUGGGCAAAAGACCUGAAUAGACAUUUCUCCAAGAAAGAUAUACAGAUGGCCAACAAGCACAUGAAACAAUGCUCAACAUCCCUGAUUAUUAGAGAAAUGCAAAUCAAAACUACAACAAGAUACCACCUCACGCCAGUCAGAAUGGCCAUCAUUAAUAAGUCCACAAAUAACAAACGCUGAAGAGGGUGUGGAGAAAGGAAACCCUCCUGCACUGUUGGUGGGAAUGUAAGCUUGAACAACCACUAUGGAGAACAGUAUGGAGGUACCUUAGAAAACUAUGCAUAGAACUACCAUAUGAUCCAGCAGUCCCACUCUUGGGCAUAUAUCCAGACAAAAUUUUCCUUAAAAAAGACACAUGUACCCACAUAUUCAAUGCAGCACUAUUCACAAUAGCCAAGACAUGGAAUCAACCCAAAUGUCCAUUGACAGACGAUUGGAUUAGGAAGAUGUGGUAUAUAUACACAAUGGAAUACUACUCUGCCAUAAAAAAGAACAAAAGAAUGCCAUUUGCAGCAACAUGGAUGGAACUAGAGACUCUCAUACUGAGUGAAGUAAGUCAGAAAGAGAAAGACAAAUACCAUAUGAUAUCACUUAUAUCUGGAAUCUAAAACAUGGCACAAAGGAACCUCUCCACAGAAAAGAAAAUCAUGGACUUAGAAAAUAGACUUGUGGUUGCCAAGGGUGAGGGGUGGAGUGUGGGAUGGAUGGGGUGCUUGCAGUUAAUAGAUGCAGACUAUUUUCUUUGUAAUGAAUUAGCAAUGAGAUCCUGCUGUGUAGCACUGGGAACUAUGUCUAAUCACUUUUGAUGGAGAAUGAUAAUGUGAGAAAAAGAAUGUAUGCAUGUCUGUGUAACUGGGUCACCAUGCAGUAUAGUAGAAAACUGACAGAACACUGUAAACCAGCUAUAAUGGAAAAAAGAAAUAAAAAUCAUAAUUUUAAAAAAAAUUCCUGAUGAUGAUCAUUUCUUUGAAGAGGUAGGUUAUGUUGCAUGCCUCUCUGAGGUUGCCUUUGUGCUGAAGCCUGCAUGUUGAGAAGGAAUGGCCAUGAAUAGAGAUAGGUGAAGAAACACUGUGGGCAGAGGGAAAGGAUAGUUCAAGAGUCCUAAAGGUAAUAAGGGAGGUCUUUGUGCCUAGAUCUCAGAGAGUGGAGGUGGGGAAUGGAAAUGAGGCCAAAGGGAGUGACGGACCACAUCAUCUCGGAGCUUGUGGGACUUGGAUUUCAUUCUAGGUGGAGUGGUCAGUCCUCAGGACUCAGAUUAUGGAGAUGGCAUGACCUAAUAUUUUUCUUUAUAUUCCUAAGAGGACUCUGUAGAAUGAAUAAAUACAUCGUUGUACACAUAGCAAUCAAUGAAAUGGAAUUGAGGGUCCAAGAAUAAUUCUCAUAUUUAUAGUCAAUCUUCAGCAACAGUGCCAAGACUUAAAUGGGGGAAUGAACAUUUUUUUCCACAAAUGGCACUGAGACACCUGACUAUCCAUAUACAAAUGAAUGCAGGAGGAUCUUACAUCACAUACAAAAAUUAAGAUGGAUCAAAGCCUAAAUAUAACAACUCAAUCUAUAAAACUCUUUGAAGAAAUAAAAUGGUUAAAUUCUGAUCUUGAACUUGUUACAGUUUCUUCUUAGGACACCUAAAGCAUGUAUAAUAAACUGCAAGUUGGAUAAAUUGGACUUCAUCAAAUUAAAAAAAAAACUGUACAUGAAAGGAUAUAGUCAAGGAAGUGAAAGGAUAAAGCAUAGAAUGGGAGAAAGCAUUUGUAUAUCAUAGCUCUAAUAUGAAUGGUAUCCAAAAUAUAUGAAGAGGUCUUAACAAUUCUAUUAUAUAAAGACGAAUAACCCAAUUUAAAAAUAUGCAAUAGACUUGAACAAACAUUUCUCCAAAGGAGAUAAACAAUUGGCUAAUAAGAAAUUUAAAAGAUGCUCAUCAUCAUUAAUCACUUGGGAAAGGCAGCCACAAACUGCAAUGAAAUUCUGCGUCACACCAACUAGAAUGGUUAUAGCUUUUAAAAGUUAGGUAUAACUAGUGUUGGCUGGGAUUCCGAGAAACCGGAACCCUCAUGUACUGCUGGAAAGAACGUAAGAUUGUGUAGUUACUUUGGAAAAGAGUCUGGCAACUCCUCAAAUGUUAGACAUAGAAUUACUAUAUGCUUUAACACUUCCCAUUUCUAAGUAUGUGCCCCGAAUAAAUGAAAACAUAUACCCACACAAAUGCUUAUACAAUAUUUUUCUCAGUAUUUAAAAAGUGGAAACAACCCAAAUAUCCCUUAUCCAAUGAAUAGAUACAUAGAAUGUGACUUAUGUAUACAUGACAUUUUACUUGACAAUAAAAUAAAUAUACUGCUGAUGCAUAGUUCGUAUAUGAACUUUGAAAACAUUCAGUGCAAGGAACCAGUCACAAAGGACCAUAUUUUGUUUAAUGAUAUGUAUAUGAAAUGUUCAGCACAGGCAAAUCUGUAGAGACAGAGGGUAGAUUAAUGGUUGCCUAGAGCUGAGGGGUUAGGAGUUUGGGGGAUUAUGGUUAAAGAGAGUGCAUUUUCUUUUUGACAUAAUGAAAAUGUUCUAAAAUUGAUUGUGGUGAUGGAGCAUCACUCUGUGAACGUAAUAAAGUCAUUGAAUUGUGAGCUUUAAAUAGAUGAAUUGUGUAAAGUGUGAAUUAUAUGUCAAUGAAACUAUUUUUUUUUAAAUACAGUGUCAGGAAGGCAAGAUUAGAGGCAAAAUUAGGAUGCUGUUGCUGUUGUUUAAGUGGAGAUGACAGUGGCUUGAGCAAUGAUAAUCUGGUCAUCCCAUCUUUUACUGUCGGGCCAGGCCAAAGUAAAUAUUCUUUUCAUUUAUUCUCAUGUGUCUACCUAUGUCAUCAAUACUUUCACACUGCAAUGGCAUGAUCUGCACAGCUGUCUCUCUCCCUUAUUAAAUGGUAAAAUUGCCAUGAAUGACUUUGCUCUUAUGUCAUGUACAGUUCUCUGUACUGCAGUGUCUGUAUACAGUAUGAACUGAAUAAAUGUGAAGUGAGCUGAUCUGAGCCAGCACUUGGUGGCAUUAGAGAUGUAUCAGAUGUCUCUAGGAGGUAUAAACCUGAGUGCAAUUAAAAUUGUAUCCAGCACUCUCUUUUUCUCUCAUCCUCAUCUUUGCCUAGAACUGAGUUCAGAGAAUUUACCUGAAGGAGAAAAUAACACACAAAAAGAAAGUCUUAGUUAUCAGAAAUGAAAGAGUAGAAAGAAGUGAAAGAAAGAAAACUGUCCUUAUUUGCAGACACCAUGACUGUCUAGGUAGAAAAUCCCAAGGAAUUUAUAAAAACAACUUUUAGAACUAUUAAGUGAAUUUAAUGAGAUCAUAGAAUGUGAAGUGAAUGUACACAAUUGCAUUUCUGUACGCUAGCCAUGUACAGUUGGAAAUCAAAAGUUUAAAGUAACACCAGUUACAAUAUACUCAAAAAUAAAAUACAUGUGUAUAAAUAUAAGAAAACAUGUAUAGGAGUUCCCUUCAUGGCUCGGUGGUCAAUGACCCUGACUAGGAUCCAUGAGGAUGUGGGUUCGAUCCCUGGCUUUGCUCAGUGGGUUAAGGAUCCAGUGUUGCUGUGAGCUGUGGUAUAGGUUGCAGUUGAGGCUUCGAUCCUGCGUUGCUAUGGCUGUGAUGUAGACUGGCAGCUGUAGCUCCAACUCGACCUUUAGCCUGGGAACCUCCAUAUGCCACAGGUGCAGCCCUAAAAUGCAAAAAACAAAACAAAACAACCCCCCCCAAAAAAAAACAAAAAAAAA